GGCUGUCGUCAGCUCGUGUUGUGAAAUGUUGGGUUAAGUCCCGCAACGAGCGCAACCCUUAUCCUUUGUUGCCAGCGAUUCGGUCGGGAACUCAAAGGAGACUGCCAGUGAUAAACUGGAGGAAGGUGGGGAUGACGUCAAGUCAUCAUGGCCCUUACGAGUAGGGCUACACACGUGCUACAAUGGCAUAUACAAAGAGAAGCGACCUCGCGAGAGCAAGCGGACCUCAUAAAGUAUGUCGUAGUCCGGAUUGGAGUCUGCAACUCGACUCCAUGAAGUCGGAAUCGCUAGUAAUCGUGGAUCAGAAUGCCACGGUGAAUACGUUCCCGGGCCUUGUACACACCGCCCGUCACACCAUGGGAGUGGGUUGCAAAAGAAGUAGGUAGCUUAACCUUCGGGAGGGCGCUUACCACUUUGUGAUUCAUGACUGGGGUGAAGUCGUAACAAGGUAACCGUAGGGGAACCUGCGGUUGGAUCACCUCCUUACCUUAAAGAA
RNAcentral lists this ribosomal RNA (496 nucleotides) under Citrobacter portucalensis. RNAcentral's name for it is "bacterial SSU rRNA". It matches the Rfam family "Bacterial small subunit ribosomal RNA", at positions 1047 to 1533 of the family's 1533-position model. Lineage: Bacteria; Pseudomonadati; Pseudomonadota; Gammaproteobacteria; Enterobacterales; Enterobacteriaceae. RNAcentral also lists the same sequence under 1 other name. The record is from RNAcentral.